AAUUUGGUUUUUUCAAAUAAGAGAGAAACAAACAAGCGAUAUACAAAGAAAAUGCUUCUUCAUUUUUGACACCUCAGAGACUAUAUGUCAGACCCAGAUAUCAUGUCCCGCUGCGGGACACCAUCCGGGAAGAUAUAGUCCGAACUCAUAGGCGACUAUGAG
RNAcentral lists this non-coding RNA (162 nucleotides) under Candidatus Gottesmanbacteria bacterium GW2011_GWA1_44_24b. The record is from RNAcentral. Lineage: Bacteria; Candidatus Gottesmaniibacteriota.